Molecule: ribosomal RNA, 497 nt
Filed under: uncultured bacterium
Lineage: Bacteria
Description: partial 16S ribosomal RNA
Rfam family: Bacterial small subunit ribosomal RNA
Source: RNAcentral
GAUGAACGCUGGCGGCGUGCCUAAUACAUGCAAGUCGAGCGAACGGACGAGAAGCUUGCUUCUCUGAUGUUAGCGGCGGACGGGUGAGUAACACGUGGAUAACCUACCUAUAAGACUGGGAUAACUUCGGGAAACCGGAGCUAAUACCGGAUAAUAUUUUGAACCGCAUGGUUCAAAAGUGAAAGACGGUCUUGCUGUCACUUAUAGAUGGAUCCGCGCUGCAUUAGCUAGUUGGUAAGGUAACGGCUUACCAAGGCAACGAUGCAUAGCCGACCUGAGAGGCUGAUCGGCCACACUGGAAGUGAGACACGGUCCAGACUCCUACGGGAGGCAGCAGUAGGGAAUCGUCCGCAAUGGGCGAAAGCCUGACGCAGCAACGCCGCGUGAGUGAUGAAGGUCUUCGGAGCGUAAAACUCUGUUAUUAGGGAAGAACAUAUGUGUAAGUAACUGUGCACAUCUUGACGGUACCUAAUCAGAAAGCCACGGCUAACUACGUG